Molecule: ribosomal RNA, 372 nt
Filed under: uncultured organism
Description: partial 16S ribosomal RNA
Rfam family: Bacterial small subunit ribosomal RNA
Source: RNAcentral
GUAGGUGGCAAGCGUUGUCCGGAAUUAUUGGGCGUAAAGCGCGCGCAGGCGGUUCUUUAAGUCUGAUGUGAAAGCCCACGGCUCAACCGUGGAGGGUCAUUGGAAACUGGAGAACUUGAGUACAGAAGAGGAAAGCGGAAUUCCACGUGUAGCGGUGAAAUGCGUAGAGAUGUGGAGGAACACCAGUGGCGAAGGCGGCUUUCUGGUCUGUAACUGACGCUGAGGCGCGAAAGCGUGGGGGAGCAAACAGGAUUAGAUACCCUGGUAGUCCACGCCGUAAACGAUGAGUGCUAAGUGUUAGGGGGUUUCCGCCCCUUAGUGCUGCAGCUAACGCAUUAAGCACUCCGCCUGGGGAGUACGGCCGCAAGGCUG